GAUGAACGCUGGCGGCGUGCCUAAUACAUGCAAGUCGAGCGAACGGACGAGAAGCUUGCUUCUCUGAUGUUAGCGGCGGACGGGUGAGUAACACGUGGAUAACCUACCUAUAAGACUGGGAUAACUUCGGGAAACCGGAGCUAAUACCGGAUGAUAUUUUGAACCGCAUGGUUCAAAAGUGAAAGACGGUCUUGCUGUCACUUAUAGAUGGAUCCGCGCUGCAUUAGCUAGUUGGUAAGGUAACGGCUUACCAAGGCAACGAUGCAUAGCCGACCUGAGAGGGUGAUCGGCCACACUGGAACUGAGACACGGUCCAGACUCCUACGGGAGGCAGCAGUAAGGAAUCUUCCGCAAUGGGCGAAAGCCUGACGGAGCAACGCCGCGUGAGUGAUGAAGGUCUUCGGAUCGUAAAACUCUGUUAUUAGGGAAGAACAUAUGUGUAAGUAACUGUGCACAUCUUGACGGUACCUAAUCAGAAAGCCACGGCUAACUACGUG
This 497-nucleotide ribosomal RNA is filed under the name uncultured bacterium. Its description in RNAcentral is "partial 16S ribosomal RNA". It matches the Rfam family "Bacterial small subunit ribosomal RNA", at positions 28 to 507 of the family's 1533-position model. The record is from RNAcentral.